UCUGUUUUGUUCACUGCUGUAUUCCCCAGCACAGAGAAGACACCCUGGGCCCUAAGGGGCUUUAAGAAAUAUUUAUCCAAUGAAUGAGAAGUGAUGGAAGUGAGGAACACUAAACUCAAGUUAGUGGUUACCACUGGAUAAAGGAAAGAAAUAAAACUGCAAGAGGAACACAAGGCACCACCUGUAUCUACAAUACUGUAUCGCCAUAAGAAAACCCUGAUAUAAAACAUGCCAAAAUACUGAGCUCUGGCAAGAAACAAAAAGCAAACAAAUUCAGCCACAGCUAAAGAAAUGGAGGCGGAAAAUUUCAUGGUUAAUGGACUGCAUCUAGUGAUGGCCUUCUUGCGGAUGGGAAGUCUGCAGAUAGUUCCCAAGCAGCACAGGACAUCACAUGAAUGCUGGCAUGAUGAACUUUGGGUCUGACUCAAGAUGAAAACUCCUGAAUUCACAAAAAUGUAAUGAUAUGGUCUUCAGUUUGAGAGGAGCUGUGUCUGAGGAACUGCAUUUGCACCUGGACCUGAAGUACAUGACAUGAUCCUGAAGCCACAGCCUAAGCUUGAUGUUGUAAUAAAUAAGGCUCUUGAGAGUGGAGGGGUGUUGGGAGGUAUGAGUGUAUUUUGCAUGUGGGUAGAAUAUAAGUUAAUUUGCGGCCAUGGGUGAACUGGUGGCAGAUUUAAGUCACAGCCAUAAUGUAUUUUGACAGUCUUGCUUGUGAAAAGAUGGAGGCUAUAUCCCCUUUCCUUAAUCUGAGUCUGACUACCUGAUGAAUGUAAUAUGACAUUGUGUCAGCUUCUGGGACUAGACCUUAAGACACUGACAAAGGAGGAGAGCAAAAUGGAUGACUCGAUGCAGUCAGGUGGAACAGCUGCCACUGGAGGGGACUGAGAUGACUUGGGUGCUUUUAACAGAUCUUCAGAAGGAAGGUGCUGAGAGUGGACAAGGGGAAGACACAGAAGCUCAGCUGAAAGGGGAGAAAGCUGGGAAUCUGCAUGGGAUGACCAUGCACCAGGACUCAUUUUUGGAUCACAACAGCUCCGGGGGAACAGGGGAGUUGAACUGGCAAGAAGUAACCCACUCUCACCAUGGCCUCUGGAACCCUGGUAGGAUAAGGUCCCUUCACCACCACAGACACUCAAGUUGGCAGGGAGAGCUGCUUAGAGAAGUGUUAGGGGCAGUAAACCAGCUGUUGGAGCCCAGAGGGCUUGGUGUGGAAGUGGCUAUUAUGGAGCAUAGCCAGGGAUGGCCAACUCCUAGGCUCAAUGGGAGAUUUUAGCCCUAGGGGAACUGUUGGACCUGAUCUCUGAAUAGUGGUCUAGCCCAUCAGAUGGGGAUGUUUCAACCUGAGCACCCCUUGGUCUACUGACCUCUCCAGGGGCCCCAGCCUGGCCAUGCCUGCUUGCAGGGCAAUCUUGGGUGUUUUGGGAGCCCACACUAUAGUUUCUGAGUUGAUGGACUGUGCCUGACUAGUGGAAAGCUCCAGCAAGGUGGCCCCUAUGGCUAUGUACCAGCUCACUUGCUCCCUCUUCAUACUGCAGCUUUUCCUGGGCCAAUGGCAAUUCCUCACAUAAAUCUGUUGGCUCAUAUCUGCAUGGGCAGGUUUUGCUUUCCUUGCCUCACCAGAGUGCAGGAGUGCAGUCUGCCCCCUACCCCACUGCCAUUGCAGACAGCCUUGGUGGGCACAGAGCCAGUAAGCCCCACCCCUACCAGUGCGCUAACAUUGCGAAGAUAAAAGCAGAUCUUCCUCUACCCUGAGUGAUCACUCCUGCUUGUGGGGCACAGAUAAGGCACCCAGACCUAUGCCCACCAACAUCACGUCCCAAGCUAACACCACCUCCAGUGCAACAGCACACACAGUCUCCAGCAAGGGCCUUUCUCCCACUUUUACCCAUACUCUUCCCACCAGUUGCAUUGCCUCUGCCACUGUGGUGAAUGCCUGCAGGGAGGGAAGCAAACAUCCUGGCACCUGCUGGUACUCUGCCACAACUGCUACAUCUCAGCCCUCCCAUCCUCCACCUCCAGCACAAUGGAUUCCAAACCUUGAAGAGCCAGAGAACAAAGUCAGGGCCCAAUACAAGUACCCUAGAAUUAGGGUAUGCAGUCCAGGAGUUGGGGGCUGAUGACUGGUCCCCUAAAAUCUUCCAGAAAGGAAGCAAGUCAUUCAAAUCCACCUUAUACCACAAUCAAACCCUUAAGGUCAUCAAAUAUGAUUUAAAUAAAUUCAAAAGUCAGCAACCUCAAAGAUAUAAUAGAUUGAGACUUUUACACCCCACUGACAAUAUUAGAUCAUUGAGACAGAAAAUUAACAAACAUAUUUAGGACCUGAACUCACCUCUGAAUCAAGGGGACCUGAUAGAUAUCUACAGAACUCUCCACCCAAAUU
This is a long non-coding RNA of Cercocebus atys (sooty mangabey), 2380 nucleotides long. RefSeq lists it as uncharacterized. Lineage: Eukaryota; Metazoa; Chordata; Mammalia; Primates; Cercopithecidae. The transcript has 4 exons. The record is from RefSeq and is a predicted model, not a curated record.